Molecule: ribosomal RNA, 253 nt
Filed under: uncultured prokaryote
Description: partial 16S ribosomal RNA
Rfam family: Bacterial small subunit ribosomal RNA
Source: RNAcentral
UACGGGGGGGGCAAGCGUUGUUCGGAAUUACUGGGCGUAAAGGGCUCGUAGGCGGCCAACUAAGUCAGACGUGAAAUCCUUCGGCUUAACCGGGGAACUGCGUCUGAUACUGGAUGGCUCGAGUGUGGGAGAGGGAUGCGGAAUUCCAGGUGUAGCGGUGAAAUGCGUAGAUAUCUGGAGGAACACCGGUGGCGAAGGCGGCAUCCUGGACCAUUACUGACGCUGAGGCGCGAAAGCUAGGGGAGCAAACCGG